This 661-nucleotide long non-coding RNA is filed under the name Numida meleagris (helmeted guineafowl). RNAcentral describes it as "lncRNA (ENSNMEG00000000683.1)". The record is from RNAcentral. Lineage: Eukaryota; Metazoa; Chordata; Aves; Galliformes; Numididae.
GAUUUUGGGGCCAUUUUCAUCCCAAUUUUGGGGCCAUUUUCAUCCCAAUUUUGGGGCCAUUUUCAUCCCAAUUUUGGGGCCAUUUUCAAUGGGAUUUUGGGUCCAAUCUCAGCGAUUUUGGGGCCAUUUUCAGUGGGAUUUUGGGGCCAUUUUCAAUGGGAUUUUGGGGCCAUUUUCAUCCCAAUUUUGGGGCCAUUUUCAAUGGGAUUUUGGUGCCAUUUUCAAAGGGAUUUUGGGGCCAAUCUCAGCGAUUUUGGGGCCAUUUUCAUCCCAAUUUUGGGGCCAUUUUCAUCCCAAUUUUGGGGCCAUUUUCAAUGGGAUUUUGGUGCUAUUUUCAAUGGGAUUUUGGCCAUUUUUGCCACAAUUUGGGGCCAAUUGUGAGCGGACCGGUGCCCCUCACCGCAGGGCGCGGCUCAGCUUGUCGUAGUUCAUGUGGGGCUUGCACUUGCGCGCGCCCCACAGCCGCGCCACCUCGUCGGGGUCCUUGAUGACGAACUCGCCGUAGUCGCCCUGCCAGGCGAUGACGUGCCGGUAGCGCUCCUGGCGCAGCAGCUCCAGGAUGAAGUGCCACAGCUGGAUCUGCCGCGAGCCGGGGCUCGACUCCGCCUUGUACGCCCACUCCGGGAACGCCAGCCCUAUGGGGAGGGCAGAUGUGGGGCUG